GUGCCAGCAGCCGCGGUAAUACGGAGAGUGCGAGCGUUGUUCGGAAUAACUGGGCGUAGAGUGCGAGCAGGCGGAUUGGCAAGUCGAUUGUGAAAGCCCGGAGCUUAACUUCGGAAUUGCAGUCGAAACUGCUAAUCUUGAAUGCCUGAGAGGGUAACGGAAUUCUUGGUGUAGAAGUGAAAUUCGUAGAUAUCAGGAGGAACACUUGUGGCGAAGGCGGUUACCUGGCAGUGCAUUGACGCUGAAUCGCGAAAGCGUGGGGAGCAAACAGGAUUAGAUACCCUGGUAGUCCACGCGGUAAACGAUGGAUACUUGCUGUCUGGAGUGUUAAACCUCUGGGUGGCGAAGCUAACGCGUUAAGUAUCCCGCCUGGGGAGUACGGUCGCAAGGCUAAAACUCAAAUGAAUUGACGG
This 413-nucleotide ribosomal RNA is filed under the name uncultured bacterium. RNAcentral's name for it is "bacterial SSU rRNA". It matches the Rfam family "Bacterial small subunit ribosomal RNA", at positions 505 to 916 of the family's 1533-position model. The record is from RNAcentral.